Molecule: ribosomal RNA, 330 nt
Filed under: uncultured eukaryote
Lineage: Eukaryota
Description: partial 18S ribosomal RNA
Rfam family: Eukaryotic small subunit ribosomal RNA
Source: RNAcentral
CCCUUAGAUGUUCUGGGCCGCACGCGCGCUACACUGUUCGACGCAGCGAGUCUUAACCUUGACCGAAAGGUUUGGGUAAUCUUCAGCAAAGUCGAACGUGAUGGGGAUCGAUCAUUGCAAUUAUUGAUCGUGAACGAGGAAUUCCUAGUAAGUGCAAGUCAUCAGCUUGCGCUGAUUACGUCCCUGCCCUUUGUACACACCGCCCGUCGCUCCUACCGAUUGAAUGAUCCGAUGAAUACCAUGGAUUGAGAGUACGAAUAGGUUCGCUUAUUUCUGCUUCUCGAGAAGUGGAGUAAAUCUUAUCAUUUAGAGGAAGGAGAAGUCGUAACA